This 219-nucleotide long non-coding RNA is filed under the name Lathyrus oleraceus (garden pea). RNAcentral describes it as "Pisum sativum (pea) long non-coding RNA (PSAT_LNC024034)". Lineage: Eukaryota; Viridiplantae; Streptophyta; Magnoliopsida; Fabales; Fabaceae. The record is from RNAcentral.
GACAAGCCAGCGUUUAGCCGUUAGAACGCCGACCUACACAGUCGUUCAUCAAAACAAAACACACCAAAUAUUCGUAGUAGCCCGAACUACGAAUGCUCUGAUUUCCUUAUUGCACCAUAAGGAUACGUAGGCAGGAGAUUGUUGUAUCUUCGCGAGCACACUAAUAAAAAACCUCCCAUUUUCCCCUCCUGAGGUCUUCAUCCAUAUCUAUCAUCAAUU